RNAcentral lists this ribosomal RNA (221 nucleotides) under uncultured bacterium. RNAcentral's name for it is "partial 16S ribosomal RNA". It matches the Rfam family "Bacterial small subunit ribosomal RNA", at positions 29 to 280 of the family's 1533-position model. The record is from RNAcentral.
AGCGAACGCUGGCGGCAGGCUUAACACAUGCAAGUCGAACGGGCACCUUCGGGUGUCAGUGGCAGACGGGUGAGUAACACGUGGGAACGUACCCUUUGGUUCGGAACAACUCUGGGAAACUUGAGCUAAUACCGGAUGAGCCCUACGGGGAAAGAUUAUCGCCAUGAGCGCCGCGUCUGAUUAGCUAGUUGGUGAGGUAAAGGACUCACCAAGGCUACGAU